GGGAUGUGCGUGAGGAAGGAGGGACGCCCGGUGAUCACUCGGGAGACCACCCUUUAGAGGGCGGGGGACCCGGAAGGGUUUCUUUGCGGGGAUGGUGGACCACUCCGCUGGAGAGUGGUGUUGAGGUUUGGGGACCAGAUCACUCGGGGGUGGGGAGCAGACCGUGGGGGCACAGCCCUCUGAAGAAAUGAGCUGAACCAAGAAGAGGAUGGGGGAAAGGAAGCGGGCCACCGGGGCUCCCUUUCCCGUGGCUGAGGGAGAGACGCUGGACCUGACACAAACUAGUGCCGCCCCCCCCCAGCCACCACAGGGGUGGGGCAGAGGCAGGGACCAGAGAAGACCGGCUUCCACGCCUCACCAGUAUAUUCACUCUCACUGGGCCCACCCUGUGCUCCACUGGCAGUCGGUGGGGAUGGCCUCUGACGGGACUACCAGCAGGAUGUCAAGAGAGCCAGGCAGAGGACGAGGUAAUGGUACCUGAGUUUAAAGGCGUGUGACGGUUCAAUUCUAUUCUCAUACCUGUCAGCAGAUUUCUGCGGCCUUUGUUUCACCUGAGAUAAGGUCUACCCGCUCCCUUUUUUUGGCCCUUUGUGAAUGAGAGAACCACGGGAUGGGACGCAGCUCAACACUGACUUCUUUCCGGAAAACCCCUCCGCAUUAAACUAAUGCUUAAUCCGAAUUAGAGCCCAUCCAAGGCAUCGAAGCGCCGCUCCUUACUUGCUAAAGCAGGAUCUCUCUUGCCCUUUCAAACAAGCAAAGGAUUUCAAUGAGACCUCCCAGGACAGGGAGGGGAACGGGGUCUCGGCUUAAAUCUCGCCUAGAGAUGCCUUCUCGAACCUCCCAGUUCAAGUAGCUCCACUUCUCGUCUCCACCAAGUUACCCGGUUUUAUUUUCCUCGUGACUCUCAGAACAUUUUCCUGUUAAUAUAUGUGUUUGUUGAUUAUCUGA
This is a long non-coding RNA of Felis catus (domestic cat), 948 nucleotides long. RefSeq lists it as uncharacterized. The record is from RefSeq and is a predicted model, not a curated record. The transcript has 5 exons. NCBI's taxonomy places the organism in Eukaryota, Metazoa, Chordata, Mammalia, Carnivora, Felidae.